GCCUGGGUGGCUCAGUCGGUUAGCGUCUGACUUUGGCUCAGGUCACGAUCUCAUGGUUUGUGGGUUUGAGCCCCACGUCAGGCU
This 84-nucleotide transfer RNA is filed under the name Felis catus (domestic cat). It matches the Rfam family "tRNA". From Rfam's summary of the family: Transfer RNA (tRNA) molecules are approximately 80 nucleotides in length. Their secondary structure includes four short double-helical elements and three loops (D, anti-codon, and T loops). RNAcentral also lists the same sequence under 1 other name. Lineage: Eukaryota; Metazoa; Chordata; Mammalia; Carnivora; Felidae. The record is from Rfam by way of RNAcentral.